UAGCUGAAAACGUGUUAAAGAAGGUGGA
Molecule: non-coding RNA, 28 nt
Filed under: Mus musculus (house mouse)
Lineage: Eukaryota; Metazoa; Chordata; Mammalia; Rodentia; Muridae
Source: RNAcentral